ACGGGAGGCAGCAGUGGGGAAUAUUGGGCAAUGGGCGAAAGCCUGACCCAGCGACGCCGCGUGAGGGAAGACGGUCUUCGGAUUGUAAACCUCUUUCAGCAGGGAAGAUAAUGACGGUACCUGCAGAAGAAGCCACGGCUAACUACGUGCCAGCAGCCGCGGUAAUACGUAGGUGGCAAGCGUUAUCCGGAUUUAUUGGGUGUAAAGGGUGUGUAGGCGGGACUGCAAGUCAGAAGUGAAAAUCAUGGGCUCAACCCAUGACCUGCUUUUGAAACUGUGGUUCUUGAGAGUGGGAGAGGUAAACGGAAUUCCUGGUGUAGCGGUGAAAUGCGUAGAUAUCAGGAGGAACACCGGUGGCGAAGGCGGUUUACUGGACCAUUACUGACGCUGAGACACGAAAGCGUGGGGAGCAAACAGGAUUAGAUACCCUGGUA
RNAcentral lists this ribosomal RNA (434 nucleotides) under uncultured Oscillospiraceae bacterium. RNAcentral describes it as "bacterial SSU rRNA". It matches the Rfam family "Bacterial small subunit ribosomal RNA", at positions 341 to 792 of the family's 1533-position model. The record is from RNAcentral. Lineage: Bacteria; Bacillati; Bacillota; Clostridia; Eubacteriales; Oscillospiraceae. RNAcentral also lists the same sequence under 1 other name.